This is a non-coding RNA of Meleagris gallopavo (turkey), 422 nucleotides long. The record is from RefSeq and is a predicted model, not a curated record. NCBI's taxonomy places the organism in Eukaryota, Metazoa, Chordata, Aves, Galliformes, Phasianidae.
UUCUGCAUAGCAGAGGCCUUUCUGCUACCUGGUGCCAACAUGCACACAGUCUCUAUUGAAGUGUGACGUUAGCUAACCAGAGAAGAGCCAGGAGUAGGAAAGCAGAUCUGUUCCAACAGCUUUACCAAGAAGGUAGUUGUAUUCCAGGGCUGGAUGAUGCUAGGAACCCUGCUCCUAUUGAUUAUAUCCUAUCGGAAAGACAGUGCAGCCAAGUACCAAUACCAGGAGACAGUCUCCAGCUGACAGAUUCCAGAGUGUGGUCCUGCCCUACAGGUGUUUGUAUCUGAGGCAGCAGAUACAGUGAGGUCAGAAGGAGUCAAUAAGUACAGGCCAAAAAAAGAAUAAUGAAUAACCAAGAAUGGGGAGAACAAGUCAAGUAAGACUUGUACUAUAGCAAAAGAAACUGAAGCUCUUGAUGUUAU